AUUUUAAUAGUUUAUAAAAAAAUGUUGAUUUUGUAAUUCAAUGAAAUCUAGUUAGGUUUAAAAUA
This 65-nucleotide transfer RNA is filed under the name Bemisia tabaci. RNAcentral's name for it is "tRNA-Thr". The record is from RNAcentral. Lineage: Eukaryota; Metazoa; Arthropoda; Insecta; Hemiptera; Aleyrodidae.